This 1495-nucleotide long non-coding RNA is filed under the name Homo sapiens (human). Its description in RNAcentral is "HSALNT0362452". The record is from RNAcentral. Lineage: Eukaryota; Metazoa; Chordata; Mammalia; Primates; Hominidae.
UGCUUCACUUUCAUGUCCAGAGCUGCUUAGACUGAUUUCUGCAAAGUGCACAGGCAUUUUCAUGCUGAGGAUAAAGGACCAUGAUCGCUUGUCUGGACCCAGAAAAUAUUUCCCAUUUGCUACACAGAUGCCGUCUCAUCCUUCCAGAGUUCAAGACUUCAGCAGAAAAAAAAAUCACCUCAUUAAAGGAAAAUUGUGCCUUAUCCCCACUACUCGAAGAUGCAACCAUCUGCCUGGUCACAGCCACUUUUUUCCUUUUUUUCUCACUCCAUCGUAUGUGUGUGUGGUGGGGCAGGGGAUAAGGGGAAUAAUCUCUCUCCAGUAUAAGAAGGUAAUGAUUCAAAGAUUUAAAUGCUAAACUUCUGGGACUUCGGGACUUACUAUAAAACUAGAUAAGAUCAACAACAACAAAAACAAUGCUUUCUAUUGAAAUUUGUACAGUUUUGCAAGUUCAUUUCUGCUCUUCGUCUGUUGAAGCAUCAAUAAAGUCCAAGAAAAAUACUGGGAAUCAGAUUCAUGCCCAAAGUGACCCUGUGGCAGUUGAGGAUUGACUGGGCUAGAAGACCAAAGUUUAAAGCGCAAGUUAAUCUGAGACAGAGAAAUGAAAGAGAAGAUGAGAAAGAAAAGUGGCCUCAAAAUAAGAGGAACUAGGGUCCUGGCUCAGAGGCUCAUGCCUGUAAUUCCAUCACUUUGGGAGGCCGAGGUGGGCAGAUCACCCGAGGUCAGGAGUUCCAGACCAGCCUGGCCAACAUGGUGAAACCCCGUAUCUACUAAAAAUACAAAAAUUAGCUGGGCAUGGGGGCGCCUUAAUCCCAGCUACUUGGGAGUCAGAGACAGGAGAAUCAUUUGAAUCUGGAGGUGGAAGUUGCAGUGAGCCAAGAUCCCAGCCAUUGCACUCAAGCCUGGGGGACAAGAGCAAGACUUAUCUCAAAAAAAAAAAAAAAAAAGGAACUAGGACACAAGCAAGAACAGAAGUAGGAUAUGCAAAUGCUUUCUUUGAAAGCUGGGGGCAGGUGAAUGGCUUUCCUGUACUGCUAUAAAGGUACAAAAUGGAGGCAGGCACUCUUUAGAGAGGUUUAGUUUGAAAAUAAGAUUUUCAAACUUUACCCCCAAUGAAGUACAACUAGCCUUAAAUUCCACCCCACCCACCACCUCCACAAAAAAAGAAAAAAUAAAAAGAAAAUAUCUAUCAAAAAGCAUUAGUCAUGGAAAGGACUUAAUCUUGAAAAUGAAAGCAACAAAGUUGUUAAAUGUAGACAGACACUAAGCUGCUUACAACAAUAUUUGCUUACAUUAUAGCAUCUAAUAUAAGAUGUUAUUUGCUCAUUGUUUAUUAUGUACUCCAUGCUCUCACAAGAAGCUUAGCUUUGAUUUUUUUCUUAAUUUUGGUGGCUUAAAUUUGAAAAUUUAACUUUGCAUUAAAGGAGGGUUUUUAUUUAAUUAAAGAAUGUAUUCUGGAGCUUGAUUACAAAUUAAAAUCCAACAUUUGCUUAAC